CCUACGGGCGGCAGCAGUGAGGAAUAUUGGUCAAUGGGCGCGAGCCUGACCCAGCCAAGUAGCGUGAAGGAUGACUGCCCUACGGGUUGUAAACUUCUUUUAUAAAGGAAUACAGUGGGGCGCGUGUACCUUUUUGUCUGUACUUUAUGAAUAAGAAUCGGCUAACUCCGUGCCAGCAGCCGCGGUAAUACGGAGGAUCCGAGCGUUAUCCGGAUGUGUUGGGUUUAAAGGGAGCGUAGAUGGGUUGUUAAGUAAGUUGUGAAAGUUUGCGGCUUAACCGUAAAAUUGCCAUGGAUACUGGCAGUCUUGAGUACAGUUGAGGGAGGCGGAAUUCGUGGUGUAGCGGUGAAAUGCUUAGAUAUCACGAAGAACUCCGAGUGCGAAGGCAGCUUACUAAACUGCCACUGACAUUGAUGCUCGAAAGUGUGGGUAUCAAACAGGAUUAGAGACCCUUGUAGUC
RNAcentral lists this ribosomal RNA (460 nucleotides) under uncultured bacterium. RNAcentral's name for it is "partial 16S ribosomal RNA". It matches the Rfam family "Bacterial small subunit ribosomal RNA", at positions 338 to 795 of the family's 1533-position model. The record is from RNAcentral.